AACGCACCUUGCGCCCCUUGGCAUUCCGAGGGGCACACCCGUUUGAGUGUCGUGAAACCCUCAAAAUCAUUUUUUCUUUUUGAAAAAGGAUUUUGGACUUGGAGGUUCAAUGCUCGCUCUCUCUUUCGAAAGCGAGCUCCUCUCAAAUGAAUCAGUGGGGUUUGCUUUGCUGAUCCUUGACGUGAUAAGAUGUUUCUACGUUUUGGAUUUGGCACUGUCCCUUGCUUCUAACAGUCCCUUGGACGACGAUGGUGCUUCGGUCGCCGCCACCUACGCUGGCGGGAGGCUGGACCCACAAAAACCUUGACCUCAAAUCGGGUGAGACUACCCGCUGAACUUAA
Molecule: unclassified non-coding RNA, 341 nt
Filed under: uncultured Russula
Lineage: Eukaryota; Fungi; Basidiomycota; Agaricomycetes; Russulales; Russulaceae
Description: sequence contains ITS2
Source: RNAcentral